CCUACGGGGUGCAGCAGUGGGGGAUAUUGCACAAUGGGGGGAACCCUGAUGCAGCGACGCCGCGUGGGUGAAGGAGUGCUUCGGCAUGUAAAGCUCUAUCGGCAGGGAAGAAGCAAGACGGUACUUGACUAAGAAGCCCCGGCUAACUACGUGCCAGCAGCCGCGGUAAUACGUAGGGGGCGCGCGUUAUCAGGAUUCACUGGGUGUAAAGGGAGCGUAGACGGGCAUGGAAGCCAGGGGUGAAAGCCCGGGGCCCAACCCCGGGAUUGCACUUGGAACUGGGCGGCUAGAGUGCGGGAGGGGUAGGCGGAAUUCGUGGUGUAGCGGUGAAAUGCGUAGAUAUCAGGAGGAACACCGGCGGCGAAGGCGGCUUACUGGACUGCGACUGACGUUGAGGCUCGAAAGCGUGGGUAGCAAACAGGAUUAGAUACCCGUGUAGUC
RNAcentral lists this ribosomal RNA (441 nucleotides) under uncultured bacterium. Its description in RNAcentral is "partial 16S ribosomal RNA". It matches the Rfam family "Bacterial small subunit ribosomal RNA", at positions 338 to 795 of the family's 1533-position model. The record is from RNAcentral.